Molecule: long non-coding RNA, 229 nt
Filed under: Elaeis guineensis (African oil palm)
Lineage: Eukaryota; Viridiplantae; Streptophyta; Magnoliopsida; Arecales; Arecaceae
Description: long non-coding RNA (EGUI_LNC045415)
Source: RNAcentral
UAUGCCUAUCUAUUCAUCAUUUACCUUUGUUUCCUAUGUUUAGGUAUCAUUGGUAUACUUGACCUCCUUAACUCCUCAAUCAUAAUCUAUUUUGCUUUUACACUCCUCAGUUCUGGGUUGUAAGUUAUACGGUGCAUGUGAGUAGUAUCGUAUACCUCAUAAUUCAUCUAUCCAUUUAUUGCUUCCAUAUGUACGCAUGUGGCUUUUACUGCUAUGUCACACUACUAUG